CCCUGUAGAUGAACCUCUCACUAUAUUCAUUGGCUCUUUUUGGAGCUAGUGAUCCUUUUCAAAAGUCUACAGUAAUCUUAGCAAACCAUGAUAAUUUAUUGCAGGCUUCAUCAUUCUGUAAUGACUAAGAAAGGAUAGGUAGGAUUUAAGUAGCGAAUUGAAGAUAGCAUCCUUGCCUAACUAUUCAUGAAGCAGAAAGCCAAGUUU
RNAcentral lists this long non-coding RNA (207 nucleotides) under Elaeis guineensis (African oil palm). RNAcentral describes it as "long non-coding RNA (EGUI_LNC036991)". Lineage: Eukaryota; Viridiplantae; Streptophyta; Magnoliopsida; Arecales; Arecaceae. The record is from RNAcentral.